Molecule: ribosomal RNA, 551 nt
Filed under: Aspergillus sp.
Lineage: Eukaryota; Fungi; Ascomycota; Eurotiomycetes; Eurotiales; Aspergillaceae
Description: LSU rRNA
Rfam family: Eukaryotic large subunit ribosomal RNA
Source: RNAcentral
UAGCGGAGGAAAAGAAACCAACCGGGAUUGCCUCAGUAACGGCGAGUGAAGCGGCAAGAGCUCAAAUUUGAAAGCUGGCUCCUUCGGGGUCCGCAUUGUAAUUUGCAGAGGAUGCUUCGGGUGCGGCCCCUGUCUAAGUGCCCUGGAACGGGCCGUCAGAGAGGGUGAGAAUCCCGUCUGGGAUGGGGUGUCCGCGCCCGUGUGAAGCUCCUUCGACGAGUCGAGUUGUUUGGGAAUGCAGCUCUAAAUGGGUGGUAAAUUUCAUCUAAAGCUAAAUACUGGCCGGAGACCGAUAGCGCACAAGUAGAGUGAUCGAAAGAUGAAAAGCACUUUGAAAAGAGAGUUAAAAAGCACGUGAAAUUGUUGAAAGGGAAGCGCUUGCGACCAGACUCGCCUCCAGGGUUCAGCCGGCAUUCGUGCCGGUGUACUUCCCUGGGGGCGGGCCAGCGUCGGUUUGGGCGGCCGGUCAAAGGCUCCCGGAAUGUAGUGCCCUCCGGGGCACCUUAUAGCCGGGAGUGCAAUGCGGCCAGCCUGGACCCGAGGAACGCGCU